UUCUUAGUUAAACUAUUCUUUG
RNAcentral lists this transfer RNA (22 nucleotides) under Sebastes pachycephalus pachycephalus. RNAcentral's name for it is "partial tRNA-Pro". Lineage: Eukaryota; Metazoa; Chordata; Actinopteri; Perciformes; Sebastidae. The record is from RNAcentral. RNAcentral also lists the same sequence under 3 other names.